AGUGAACGCUGGCGGUAGGCCUAACACAUGCAAGUCGAACGGCAGCACAGUAAGAGCUUGCUCUUACGGGUGGCGAGUGGCGGACGGGUGAGGAAUACAUCGGAAUCUACUUUUUCGUGGGGGAUAACGUAGGGAAACUUACGCUAAUACCGCAUACGACCUACGGGUGAAAGCAGGAGAUCUUCGGACCUUGCGCGAUUGAAUGAGCCGAUGUCGCAUUAGCUAGUUGGCGGGGUAAAGGCCCACCAAGGCGACGAUCCGUAGCUGGUCUGAGAGGAUGAUCAGCCACACUGGAACUGAGACACGGUCCAGACUCCUACGGGAGGCAGCAGUGGGGAAUAUUGGACAAUGGGCGCAAGCCUGAUCCAGCCAUACCGCGUGGGUGAAGAAGGCCUUCGGGUUGUAAAGCCCUUUUGUUGGGAAAGAAAAGCAGCAGGUUAAUACCCCGCUGUUCUGACGGUACCCAAAGAAUAAGCCCCGGCUAACUUCGUG
RNAcentral lists this ribosomal RNA (492 nucleotides) under uncultured bacterium. RNAcentral describes it as "partial 16S ribosomal RNA". It matches the Rfam family "Bacterial small subunit ribosomal RNA", at positions 29 to 507 of the family's 1533-position model. The record is from RNAcentral.